Molecule: transfer RNA, 73 nt
Filed under: Virus Rctr197k
Lineage: Duplodnaviria; Heunggongvirae; Uroviricota; Caudoviricetes
Description: tRNA-Thr
Rfam family: tRNA
About the family: Transfer RNA (tRNA) molecules are approximately 80 nucleotides in length.
Source: RNAcentral
GCCCGUAAAGCUCAGACGGCCGAGCAAUCGCUUCGUAAGCGAUAGGUCGCCGGUUCGACUCCGGCUACGGGCU